Molecule: ribosomal RNA, 555 nt
Filed under: uncultured Mycobacterium sp.
Lineage: Bacteria; Bacillati; Actinomycetota; Actinomycetes; Mycobacteriales; Mycobacteriaceae
Description: bacterial SSU rRNA
Rfam family: Bacterial small subunit ribosomal RNA
Source: RNAcentral
UACGGGAGGCAGCAGUGGGGAAUAUUGCACAAUGGGCGCAAGCCUGAUGCAGCGACGCCGCGUGGGGGAUGACGGCCUUCGGGUUGUAAACCUCUUUCAGUAGGGACGAAGCGCAAGUGACGGUACCUACAGAAGAAGCACCGGCCAACUACGUGCCAGCAGCCGCGGUAAUACGUAGGGUGCGAGCGUUGUCCGGAAUUACUGGGCGUAAAGAGCUCGUAGGUGGUUUGUCGCGUUGUUCGUGAAAACCGGGGGCUUAACCCUCGGCGUGCGGGCGAUACGGGCAGACUGGAGUACUGCAGGGGAGACUGGAAUUCCUGGUGUAGCGGUGGAAUGCGCAGAUAUCAGGAGGAACACCGGUGGCGAAGGCGGGUCUCUGGGCAGUAACUGACGCUGAGGAGCGAAAGCGUGGGGAGCGAACAGGAUUAGAUACCCUGGUAGUCCACGCCGUAAACGGUGGGUACUAGGUGUGGGUUUCCUUCCUUGGGAUCCGUGCCGUAGCUAACGCAUUAAGUACCCCGCCUGGGGAGUACGGCCGCAAGGCUAAAACUCAAA